Molecule: ribosomal RNA, 2256 nt
Filed under: Magnaporthiopsis poae ATCC 64411
Lineage: Eukaryota; Fungi; Ascomycota; Sordariomycetes; Magnaporthales; Magnaporthaceae
Description: Magnaporthe poae ATCC 64411 18S_rRNA
Rfam family: Eukaryotic small subunit ribosomal RNA (bases 258-2256)
Source: RNAcentral
GUCUGGUGAACGUUCCAGUUCCGAUGCUGGUGCCAGAGAUAGCGGUUAAAUAGCCCACGCUAGUCGAGCAUCCGCCAUCAGCGGGAGGAUGCCGGCGAGACAACCUGGAUCGGGGGACGCUAAGGUGCCGAAGGGCGCUAUGCCAAUCCCGAGCGGAGUCCACUGACGGACCCGUGUAGAGCGCGCAAAGGUGUCGGUCCGGCUCGGUCGAGCUGGGCUUAAGGUACGUGCCGAUCCCCCGCGAAAGCGGGGCCGCGUCCAAGAGUGCCCGCUGCACGAAUGGACGUGGUGUCGAGGCUAGGGGGCCCCCCCGCCCCCCUAACCUCGCAAGUAAUACAGCCUAAAAAUGGCCAGCAGCCGCGGUAAUUCCAGCUCCAAUAGCGUAUAUUAAAGUUGUUGCAGUUAAAAAGCUCGUAGUUGAACCUUGGGCCUGGCUGGCCGGUCCGCCUCACCGCGUGCACUGGUCCGGCCGGGCCUUUCCCUCUGGGGAGCCCCAUGCCCUUUACUGGGCGUGGCGGGGAACCAGGACUUUUACUUUGAAAAAAUUAGAGUGUUCAAAGCAGGCCUAUGCUCGAAUACAUUAGCAUGGAAUAAUAGAAUAGGACGUGUGGUUCUAUUUUGUUGGUUUCUAGGACCGCCGUAAUGAUUAAUAGGGACAGUCGGGGGCGUCAGUAUUCAAUUGUCAGAGGUGAAAUUCUUGGAUUUAUUGAAGACUAACUACUGCGAAAGCAUUCGUCAAGGAUGUUUUCAUUAAUCAGGAACGAAAGUUAGGGGAUCGAAAACGAUCAGAUACCGUUGUAGUCUUAACCAUAAACUAUGCCGACCAGGGAUCGGGCGGUGUUAUUAUUUGACCCGCUCGGCACCUUACACGAAAGUACAAGUUUCUGGGUUCUGGGGGGAGUAUGGUCGCAAGGCUGAAACUUAAAGAAAUUGACGGAAGGGCACCACCAGGGGUGGAGCCUGCGGCUUAAUUUGACUCAACACGGGGAAACUCACCAGGUUGAUUUGGGCCUGGAAUAGUGGAUUUAUUCUGCUAGUACUAAUCUUUACCCACGUGGGGGAAGCUAUGAGCCCCCGACUCGAGGCGUUGGGAGUCUGUAAAGACUUGGUUAGUGCGACACCAGCUGGUACAGGGAACGCUCUCUACGGAGCCAACUCUGUGGCGAGCCCGAGUAGCGUCGGGCCGUCGCAACGCACGCUAAGCGGUGGGCCGAAAGGCUUAAGGUACGUGCUAAUCCCACGGGCAACCGUGGCUAUCCUGAAUAGUUCCGAGUUUACGAAGCAGGAUAGGGGUGGUGUAAAGCCGCCUGUUUUAAAUGCCAGACACAACGAGGAUUGACAGAUUGAGAGCUCUUUCUUGAUUUUGUGGGUGGUGGUGCAUGGCCGUUCUUAGUUGGUGGAGUGAUUUGUCUGCUUAAUUGCGAUAACGAACGAGACCUUAACCUGCUAAAUAGCCCGCGUCGCUUUGGCGGCGCGCAGGCUUCUUAGAGGGACUAUCGGCUCAAGCCGAUGGAAGUUUGAGGCAAUAACAGGUUAACCUUUCACAGGCCUGUAACAGUGCACUCGUGCGCUAGUCCAACGCCGUAGUCCGCGGGGAAGUCCCCGUCUGUCGGGCGGACUGACGGGCCUCAGGGCCCGCCUGGCGUGGGCGACACUACCUGGUACAGGGAACGCCGUCAUCGCGGGGCGCUUUGCGUCGCCCCGCGCCGGCCGAUCCUGUGGCGAGCCCCGAGUAAACGCCGGGGCCGUCGCAACGCGCGGAAAGGAGUGGGCCUUCGGGCUUAAGGUACGUGCUAAUCCGCCGGGAUGAUAAACCGGUCCCCCGCAAUGAGGCCCGACAGGCCGAGGUGCGGGGGGGCAGCCCCCCUUGUGGGCUGCCGGUGUGGCGGGGUCGCUUCAGGGCCCCGCCGAUGCUGUGAUGCCCUUAGAUGUUCUGGGCCGCACGCGCGCUACACUGACACAGCCAGCGAGUCCUUCCUUGGCCGAGAGGCCCGGGUAAUCUUGUUAAACUGUGUCGUGCUGGGGAUAGAGCAUUGAAUUAUUGCUCCUUCAACGAGGAAUCCCUAGUAAGCGCAAGUCAUCAGCUUGCGUUGAUUACGUCCCUGCCCUUUUGACACACCGCCCGUCGCUACUACCGAUUGAACGGCUCNNNNNNNNNNNNNNNNNNNNNNNNNNNNNNNNNNNNNNNNNNNNNNNNNNNNNNNNNNNNNNNNNNNNNNNNNNNNNNNNNNNNNNNNNNNNNNNNNNNNAUUAAAA